GCGGUAAUACGUAGGGUGCGAGCGUUGUCCGGAAUUACUGGGCGUAAAGAGCUUGUAGGCGGUUUGUCGCGUCUUCUGUGAAAACUUGGGGCUCAACCCCAAGCUUGCAGGCGAUACGGGCAGACUAGAGUACUUCAGGGGAGACUGGAAUUCCUGGUGUAGCGGUGAAAUGCGCAGAUAUCAGGAGGAACACCGGUGGCGAAGGCGGGUCUCUGGGAAGUAACUGACGCUGAGAAGCGAAAGCAUGGGUAGCAAACAGGAUUAGAUACCCUGGUAGUCCAUGCCGUAAACGGUGGGUACUAGGUGUGGGUUUCCUUCCACGGGAUCCGUGCCGUAGCUAACGCAUUAAGUACCCCGCCUGGGGAGUACGGCCGCAAGGCUAAAACUCAAAGGAAUUGACGGGGGCCCGCACAAGCGGCGGAGCAUGUGGAUUAAUUCGAUGCAACGCGAAGAACCUUACCUGGGUUUGACAUACACCGGAAACCUGCAGAGAUGUAGGCCCCCUUGUGGUCGGUGUACAGGUGGUGCAUGGCUGUCGUCAGCUCGUGU
Molecule: ribosomal RNA, 549 nt
Filed under: Nocardia sp. FBZK-20
Lineage: Bacteria; Bacillati; Actinomycetota; Actinomycetes; Mycobacteriales; Nocardiaceae
Description: bacterial SSU rRNA
Rfam family: Bacterial small subunit ribosomal RNA
Source: RNAcentral